CUGGUGUUCAGUUGUCUUUCCAGAAGGAUGCAAAUCUCCCAUAGAUUCUGUCUCCCUCAGCAAGUGUCUUACACGUCCCAGUGUGUCUGGACUGGCACUAGGGGACUACACAGAGGCAGAUGAACCCUUCCCAUAAUGCUUGAUCAGUCUAAGGAAAAAAAAGAGAAUCAAGAGGUUGCUGGUGGCCAGUGGACCAGCUGCACACCAAUGUCAACUAGCACCUGGGAUAAGAUUAUGGCUACCUGGAAGAUAACAUACUAG
RNAcentral lists this long non-coding RNA (261 nucleotides) under Anser brachyrhynchus (Pink-footed goose). Its description in RNAcentral is "lncRNA (ENSABRG00000020107.1)". Lineage: Eukaryota; Metazoa; Chordata; Aves; Anseriformes; Anatidae. The record is from RNAcentral.